Molecule: ribosomal RNA, 468 nt
Filed under: uncultured bacterium
Lineage: Bacteria
Description: partial 16S ribosomal RNA
Rfam family: Bacterial small subunit ribosomal RNA
Source: RNAcentral
GACGAACGCUGGCGGCGUGCUUAACACAUGCAAGUCGAACGGACAGGCCCUGCUUUUGUGGGGUGCUCGAGUGGCGAACGGGUGAGUAACACGUGAGUAACCUGCCCUUGACUUUGGGAUAACCUCAGGAAACUGGGGCUAAUACCGGAUAGGAGCUCCUGCUGCAUGGUGGGGGUUGGAAAGUUUCGGCGGUUGGGGAUGGACUCGCGGCUUAUCAGCUUGUUGGUGGGGUAGUGGCUUACCAAGGCUUUGACGGGUAGCCUGCCUGAGCGGGGGACCGGGCACAAGAGUACUGAGAGAGGGCCCAGAAGCCUAUGGGACGCAGCAGGGGAGAAUAUGACAGAAUGGGCGGACGCCUGAGGUAGAAACGCCGCGUGCGUGAUGACGGCUUACGGGGUGUAAACCGCUGUCGCAGGUGACGAAGCGUGAGUGACGGUACUGGGUAAAGAAGCACCGGCUAACUACGUG